Long non-coding RNA from Dicentrarchus labrax (European seabass), 7414 nucleotides. RefSeq lists it as uncharacterized. The record is from RefSeq and is a predicted model, not a curated record. The transcript has 4 exons. NCBI's taxonomy places the organism in Eukaryota, Metazoa, Chordata, Actinopteri, Moronidae.
GUUCACCCAGUAAAGCCAAGUAUCCAGCCAGUGGAGAUGACAAGCAGUGGAGACCUGACCCGUCCAGAACUGAAGCAGCCUGCCAGCUGCUGCAGAUGACACCUUCCAGCAGCACCUGCAACCGAGCAUCAAUGACUGGGACCAUAUCUACACCAGGGACAGCAAUGGGUGAGCACCAAAAUGAGAAUCAGGAGGUGUGGAAGAAAUAGACCAGGUCCAAAAUCUGAACUCUUUAGGGGUUUGGGGGCAUGCAUCUACCAAACAGAAAAAUACCAAGGUCCGGACCACGGUGAUCCUUGGUGGUGUGUACUCGAAGUAAGUGUACUCAUGUGCACAAAAAUCAGGAAUGCCAGUAUUUCAGGUACUGCUUACAUACAAAAUGACAAUUGAACUGCAUAUAGGUGCUGCUAUAUUAUUGCUGCUAUAAUACUAUUAUGCACAAUACUACACUAGUUUGAAGGUGCCAAAUGAACAUCCUUGUCUAUGAAAAUCUUCUGCCAGAACUUCCUGCAAACAAACAAACAAACCAAACUAGACCAAGACCACCUCAUUUGGUCUGGCUGUUUGGUCCAGACUGUGAUCCGAACUGUGUUGUACUUGGUCGGUCUCUUUACUAUGACACAGCGUUUAGUUUUUCUCUCAAACUUUUUUUGGUGAGGUUGUCCUGGAGUUUCAUUUUCAAAAACAUUUCACAUUACACUUAGCUGUGUGUGCGUGUGUGUGUGUGUGUGUGUGUGUGUGUGUGUGUGUGUGUUUGCACGAGUACGAGAGAGACAUUUAGUGUGACAGACAGAUGGAGUAAAAUGGAGAAAAAGCUUCCCGUGUCUGAUUUACAAAGCCAUGGGGAAAGAGAAAGGAGACCAUAUUAGGCAAUGUUUGGCUCAACAGGAGAGAUGGCUCUGACUGUUAUCACAGCCUGUCUAAACACACACACAUGCACACUCAUACAGACACGUUCCCUCUCAGGGCUUGUAGCCUGAAGUUAGCCUGUGACUGUGAAGUUAGUCUGUGAAGAAACAUUUGAGUUUUCAGUUUAUAUAAUUAAUUUUCAUUUGAGGGAUUUUAUGUGUUUUGUGUUAAAUUGAGUCGAUCAGGUAGUAUGUGUACAGCAGCCGUGCUGUCUCCUAUCAUCCUCAUUCUUUGCCUCCUGUGCUGUAGAUUUUGUGUGUAUACUCCAUACAACACUGCAUACUGUAUACUACAAAGUAUACGGUUUUACUGAGAGAGAAAACUGUCCAAGGACCGUUGAGGCUGGAACUGGACAGAAGGAAGACUGCAGAUCGUAGGAUGCAUUUACUGUUUAAGAAGAGAAAGGAUAAGAAUUUAGUUCAGUUUUCACCCUUUCAGGGUAUCCCCACUCACCUGGAGGACACACAAAGAUACUAGAAUAGCCAUGGAUGUGGGGAGGGACCCAUAGAGGGGUUUGUGCUAGACCCUGCACAUAGGUGCUUUAACAACAUUUUGAUAUUUAAUGUAAAAAUGGAACAAAAAUUCACUAUGAUGGGGUACCUUGGUUUCAAAAUGUUUGGGAACCACUGACCUAACCAUAUGUAUCUUAUCAUCCACAGCCAGGCUGCUGCAGGGCCUGUCUAUACACACUCUGUUCUGUACAACGCUCUCAGGAAAUUCUCUAUAGCUUGCUAGAUACACCUAUACAAUGAGGGUCAAAUGAUUUCAGAGGUAAAAGGUUAAAAUGUGAUGAACUGGAGUAAUCUGAUUUUUCACAGAUUCACUGUCUCAUGUACAGGACACAGUGAACAUUUCAGCAAAUAUGGCAAAAUAUUUAUUUAUUUAUUUAUAUAACAUUCAUAACAGUUUAAAAAAGCUGUGGCUCAGGAGGUAGAAGUGGUUCAAUCCCUGGCUCCUUCUGUUGCAUGUUGAAGUGCCUUGAGCAAGAUACUUAACACUAAAUUGCUACUGAUGCUGUGCAUCAGUGUCUGAAUGUGAAUGAAUGAGUUAGUUUAUGUUUGUGAUGAACAUACCUCUGCCUUUACUGUAUGAAUGUGCGUGAAUGGGUGAAUGUGGCAUGUUGUGUAAAGUGCUUUGAGUGGUUGGAAGACUAGAAAGGCGCUAUACAAGUACAGUCCAUUUACCUACUGCAGUUUUAAUAAUAUUCUGCUGAUUUUGGCCAUGACAUUUAAAUGAUAUAACAUAUCAGUCCUUGCUGUUGCUGUUUCCUUGCUGUACCACAGCAAGGAAACAGCAACAGCAAGGAAAUUCAAAAGUAGUCAUAUCUUUGUUUUACCUGAGCUAAGAUGAAUGUUUUCAUUCUCUCCACAGAAGAAAGGAAAACUAAAUGUUACCAGCAGUUGAUAGAUAUUUUGGGCCCCUUACAACAACUCACCAGCUGACAUUAUAUCCCUGGUUUGUUCCAGGGCCCUUCUCAGCUUUUGAGCCAUAAAAGGAAUUUCAUGUGAACAUUUCUCCCACUGAAAAAUCGGAAAAGUUUACAAUAGAAACAAAUAAUUACUCCAUGGCAGAGUGUAUGGACUGAUUUCUCGGAGUAUCUCUGAAUAUGGUUAGGCUAUAGAACUCUGGGUGUGUUUUAUUGUUCACAGAUAGGGGUAAAUGUUUUGUUUUAUUUUGAUAGAUAAAUAAAAGAGUGACAAGAGCCACCAUCCGUCAGAUGUGACACAAUGAAGGCAGGAGGUGAUUUCUGUUAGUGACAUGCUGAUUUACACAAAAAUCACACAGAGCUCCUUCUAAAAUAAUGAAUUAAAGGAACAGAUCAAUGUUUUAGGAGGUAUUAUUCUUUGUACCUUUCUUUCCAAGAGUGAGAUAUGCUUUAUAGUUUUUGGUAGGUGUAUUUCCUGACUGAUAUCAAUCCUCUCAUCUAAUCUAACUACCAGAUAAAGAGAGAAUAGUGUAUUGUCCUAGUGAUAGUCCUUUAAGACUACAGACUGGACACUGGUUAAAUCUUCAUCCUGCCACUUGAAUAUGAUGGUGCUUUGUGUUGGACUAAUAGAAGAGUAAGAGUGUGUACUAAACAACAAAGUGUAUUUGAAUCAAGGCUGGUGAAGAUGAUGGUGAUGAUUGUAAUGGUGAAGAUAUGAAGAUGCUCCCUAUGAUGUGAAACUCGGCAACAGGAUGGAGGCACACACACACACACACACACACACACACACACACACACACACACACACACACACACACACACACACACACACACACACACACACAGUCAGGCUGGGAGAGGGCAGGUUUGUUUGUUGGUUUAGUUUAGUGGGGGCAACACUUCCUGAGGACAGACCUCGAGACAUGACCUACUGUGGGAUUUUUUAAGCUGUGUUUGUGAGUGAGUGUGAGAGAGAGGGAGAGCUGGUCUUUCUUCUUAAUAUGGACUUGUUGAGCCCAGAGCAGAGGGAGAGGGACUGAGUGAGAUAAAGCUUCCUCUCCCUCUGCUGCCUUUUAAGUGAGUCUCUCCCCACUGUGACUAGAAAAGGGAAUGUAUGUAGACAGCUGGGAGGAGGGGGUGGGGGUGGGGUGACAGACUAUCAGUGGGAGCAAUCACAGACUGGAAGAGGGAAUGUUUAUCCAAAGCAGCAAUUCUAGUUUCCAUGAUCCCCAAAAUAAAAGGCUGGCUCAAACCUUAUAUGGGCAGACUGGGAGUUUCUAGCCAAGCGGAGUCAGAGCAUUCUUGGAAAACACCGACUUCUCUUUCUCCACCACUCUCUUUAUAUGUCUCUCUCUUUCAGGAACUCAGUGAUAUAUAUGGUAACUGUUCGAGUGACAGUGCUGGUGCUCAGAGGACAAUAAAAUCCCACAAGAACAUUGUAAAAAUACAGUUCUACAGUAUUUAAAAAAGGGGAAUGAUUUAUCAGAUGUUGCUGUACACACAGUUCAAUUUGAUGUCAAUCUCAGGACACUUUUCAGUAGGUCUAGACCAUACUCCUUAUAAUAAUUGUUGAGAUAAUGGAGGAGGAAGGGUCUGCAUGAGGGGUAAGACUUAAAAAGUGUUGUCUGUUUUGUACUUUCUGCACAGAAACUCAUUCUUAAGAGGAGUUUAACAACAAUUUCCAUACAUUUCAUCUACUGAGAUCACAAGAAGCUAUUGCCACCACUGCAUCCACUCAGCCAUUAGCUGUUUUCCAGAAUCUUGCAAUAAUUCUGGGCAAUAUAAACAAUAAGUAAACACAAGGGCUCCAAAUGAGCCAACUUACCAACAUCAGAUGUGUCAGUAAGGUGUUGUUCUUCAACAUGAACAGCUUCAGUGCUCCAUGACAUAUAUUCUCUGGUGUCUGGAAGUCUACCGCGGGGAAGAGCAGCAUUCCUCUAAAAGAUAUUCCUUCCUUCUUCAUGGUGGUGGUGGAGAGCGCUGACAACUGUCAUUUUCAUAAUCAUCAAACCAUUCAGUGAGCUCUGAAACUGAAUGGAAGCACAUGAAUUAAUAGUUUUUUCACUGAUUUGUUAAACAUCUAUGAAAUUGCAGUUAAAAUAUGUGAUAUCAGCUCAUAGUUGGUAUAAAAGUGGCCUGUUAGUAUUUAAGAGAAUCAGUAAAACAAACCACCCAACCAUUCUAGACUCCUCAGACUUUGACCCUGAACUGUCUCCACUUCAAUCAAACUCAAACCUGAAAGGUUAGAGCCUCCAACAGCAGCAGGAUUGCGAACUAAAGCCAUAACUGUGCAAACACACAAAAUAACAGUAAGAAUACAUACCUACCCCACAGGUUUUUAUGUCAUGCAUUCCCAAAUAUUUGGAAUGCUCCACCAAAUGUAUGGGGACAAUGUGAGCUAUCAAUUUAAAAAAACUGAGGAGAUGGUGUUUGACCCUCGGUCAGUGGGGGAUCAUACUCCACUGUCCAUACACAGGGAGGAGAUCAAACAGGUCACUGGGUAUCCACCUGGAUAACCUCUUCAGCUGGAGUGAUCAUGUAGAUUAUGUAUGUUCCCGUUUACAGCAAAGGCUGUAUUUUUUACGCAGACUGAGGGUGUUUGUCAGCCAGAACAUCAUGUUUUUAUUUUAUCAGGCAGUAAUGGAGAGUGUCAUCAGGUAUGGGAUGACGGCGUGCUUCAGCAAUCUCUCCACACAGUCCAAAUCUAAGUUGCAGCGCCUGGUACAGACUGCUAUGAAGGUGAUGGGGAGGACUGAAAAGCUCUCCCUUUAGUCCAUCUAUGAGCAGUCUGUACUCAGGCAGGCAUGGAGGGUAUUGUUGGACCUGUCCCACAUCCUUCAAAGGGAAUACGAGCUCUUGCCUUCUGGCAGAAGGUACAGAAUCCCAAAAUGCAAAUUGAACCGUUUUAAAUACUCUUUUGUACCCACCUCCAUCAAAAUUUUAAAUAGAUCUGUAUGCUGAGGCCUGGGAAUGGAUGUACGCAAGGACCUAGUUGCACAUUUCCCAAGGAAGACAGGGAGAGGACGCUGUGCAAUAACUUGGUGUGCAAUAACUUGGUGUUCUGUUUGUUUUGUUUUUCAUUUGCUUUAAUCUUUCAUUGGAUGUGUCAUGAGUGUGUAUGUAGCCUACGUGUACGUCUUUAGCUGUUAUAUGUAUUUUAUGUGUAUUUAUUGUCUGUAAGGGCAGCUACUACUAUGCACUACGCACUUUGAGUCCAUGACUAAUUUCCCCUAGGGGACAGUAAAGUAUAUUCUAUUCUAUUCUAUUCCAUUUUAAAUGCAGAGGACACAUUUUGUUUCAAUUAAUGUAAAUGCCCAGAAAUUACAGUAUAGUUCAAGACUGUAAGCCUGAAUCUGUUGGUUUCCUCCUCAACCGAGAGGAAGGAGUAGAGAGCCAACGGUUAUAAAGAGCAUGCAUGAUAUCCGUUUGUCAGCCUGUGUGUGUGUCUGUGAGCUGUCUUUUGCUGUAAUGCCUCUCUUUUAACUUUUAACUUUUAACUUUAACGUGUGUUGUGUUUCAGAUCUCAGAGUUUGGCUUGUAGUAGAGAGGUUCUCAUGGAGCCUGGCGGAGCCUCCUGGUCGUCGUCCACUAAUCGGAAGGUUGUUGGUCUGAUUGCUGGUUCCUCCCACCACAUGUCGAAGUAUCCUUGAGCAAGAUACUGAACCCCAAAUUGCUCCUGAUGCUGUGCAUCGGUUUGUGAAUUUGCAUGAAUGAACUAGUUUCUGUUCGAUGGAGUUUGUCAUCCCUCUGUGAAUGUGGCAUGUAGUGUAAAAGUGCUUUGAGUGGUUGGAAGACUAGAAAGGCUCUAUACAAGUACAGGUCAAUUUACUGAACCCUCUUUAGUGCUAGCCUUAUAUAAGGGAAAACAGUCACUUUUAAGUUAAAUUGAGAUUUAUAGAUCUUAGGUGUGAAGCAAGGUUGUUUAUGCUCAGCAUCUUUUAUGAAUCUGACUUAAUUACACCCUUGGAAAUAAUCUCAAGAUUAAGUUCAAGUAUAAAUCUAAAAACAUCUUUAUACAUAAGGCCCCUGAACCCAGUCAGAAAUGCACAAACAUAAUGAGAGAACCUAUUACAUAAGAUGAAGAGAAACAAGGCUGAUGGGAGUUUGGGAAAUCCACCCACAAACAGGUUGAAUCUCUCCUGUCACAGUAUGUAAAGCCACAGAGAGCUGCAACCCUUGAGCAGCGUAUUACUCUGAAAUAGUGCUGUAUGUGGAGUACAUGUGCACUCAAAGUCAGACACCACUUUCUUUCUGUAAAAUAUACAGGAGUUUAAAAAGCAUCCCCUAAAUGUAUUAUUGAUUAGGAGUGGUGGUGGUGUGGGGAAACAAAUGGUUUACUGAGGUAAACCUGACCAAACCGUUUUCGUUCAAAAAUAGAAAAGAAUAUAAAAAUAUAUGAACAAGUAAACACAAAUAAGGGGCAUAUACAAAGGGACAUACCAACAAUAAAAUUAAACUAAAAACCACGUUUACAGGAAUUUUUAGCUAUGAUUGAAAUCUUAACAGAUACUCUGUCCAUUUUUAUAUAGAUCCAAUAUAUAAUAAUAACAGCAAAUGCACAUUUUGAAAUAUUUUGUAUUGAACAAAAGUUCCAACUUAACAUUAAUGGUAUUAUUAUUAAGAAAUUUCCCCUCCGGGAUCAAUUAAGUAUAUCUGAUUCUGAUUCUGCACUUCCAUCACUGAUCUUUCAUCAGUUUAUUCUAUGGAGUUUUGAUAAUAUAUGUAAUAUCUUAUAUUGUGUGUAAACUGCCACCAGAUUCUGUCUUACCUUUACUCCACUAGUUAGGUAGAUUUAUGGGUACUAUAGCCAAAGGAUGUCAUGGAGUGAAGUACUCUGUUCAUGCUGACUAACACUGAGUAAACACUUAAGCGUUGAAGUACUUGUUCUUGGAGGCUUCUCCUUGAUCUACUGUGGCUUUGAUUGUACCUCAUUUGCAUGUCACUUUGGCCUAAAACACAUGACCAAAUGAACAAAUGUAGACUCUGUGUUUCAGUUUGUAGAACAGAAACUGAGAAUCAGUAUUUUUCUGACAUAACUUAUUCCUGGUUAAUAAACUUUGCACAUGGAACUGUAUCAAA